Molecule: long non-coding RNA, 230 nt
Filed under: Lathyrus oleraceus (garden pea)
Lineage: Eukaryota; Viridiplantae; Streptophyta; Magnoliopsida; Fabales; Fabaceae
Description: Pisum sativum (pea) long non-coding RNA (PSAT_LNC018415)
Source: RNAcentral
UCUCGUGUCUCAGCAAGUGUUAAGUCGUGACCUACUCAUGCAUUUUUAUUUCCCUCUACUCCCCGGUGAGUUCCCAGAGUCUCUGUCCCAUUGAGUGUAUUACUCAUAUCGAUUUCCAGUUUCUCCUGAUUUCUUUUUCCUUUGUGGACAUAUAUCCCCAUAAAGUAUUACCCUUUUGCAUUCAUACAUUUGCAUCAUGAGGUCUCUUAGGGACCAAAACUCGUUUCUUU